RNAcentral lists this ribosomal RNA (825 nucleotides) under Septoria chromolaenae. Its description in RNAcentral is "eukaryotic LSU rRNA". It matches the Rfam family "Eukaryotic large subunit ribosomal RNA", at positions 71 to 925 of the family's 3401-position model. Lineage: Eukaryota; Fungi; Ascomycota; Dothideomycetes; Mycosphaerellales; Mycosphaerellaceae. The record is from RNAcentral.
GGGAUUGCCCUAGUAACGGCGAGUGAAGCGGCAACAGCUCAAAUUUGAAAUCUGGCGCAAGCCCGAGUUGUAAUUUGUAGAGGAUGCUUCUGGGUAGCGACCGAUCUAAGUUCCUUGGAACAGGACGUCAUAGAGGGUGAGAAUCCCGUAUGUGACCGGCCCGCACCCUUUACGUAGCUCCUUCGACGAGUCGAGUUGUUUGGGAAUGCAGCUCUAAAUGGGAGGUAAAUUUCUUCUAAAGCUAAAUACCGGCCAGAGACCGAUAGCGCACAAGUAGAGUGAUCGAAAGAUGAAAAGUACUUUGGAAAGAGAGUUAAAAAGCACGUGAAAUUGUUGAAAGGGAAGCGCCUGCAACCAGACUUCGUGGCAGUGUUCCGCCGGUCUUCUGACCGGUUCAUUCUCUGUCGCGAGGCCAUCAUCGUCUCGGCCCGCCGGAUAAGACCUUGGGAAUGUAGCUCCCCCUCGGGGGAGUGUUAUAGCCCAUGGUGAUGCGGCGAGGCUGGGGCGAGGUCCGCGCUUCGGCAAGGAUGAUGGCGUAAUGGUUGUCGGCGGCCCGUCUUGAAACACGGACCAAGGAGUCUAACAUCUAUGCGAGUGUUCGGGUGUCAAACCCCUACGCGUAAUGAAAGUGAACGGAGGUGGGAACCGCAAGGUGCACCAUCGACCGAUCCUGAUGUCCUCGGAUGGAUUUGAGUAAGAGCAUAGCUGUUGGGACCCGAAAGAUGGUGAACUAUGCCUGAAUAGGGUGAAGCCAGAGGAAACUCUGGUGGAGGCUCGCAGCGGUUCUGACGUGCAAAUCGAUCGUCAAAUUUGGGUAUAGGGGCG